AUGCAAGCGUCGGCCAUGGAGCUCGUGCUCUUCCGGGAGGAGGGGGCCGUGGACGAUCGGCCGCAGCAGCACGGCGGUGCCGUCGUCAAGCGGAAGCGCACCAAGAGGCCGCGCCACCUGACGCCGCCGGCGGCCGCCAUGGCGUGCUCCUCCGCGUCCUCCUCUGAGAGCACCACCACCGAGGAGGAGGACAUGGCCCACUGCCUCAUCCUCCUCGCCCAGGGCGCGGCGCCGCCCGGAGUCGUCGUCGACUCGAGGCCGCCGCCCGCGACGGUGCCGCAGGAGGCCCGGCAGGGGGCGUCGUUGCUUCCUCCGCCCGGCCCUCUGCCGGCGCCGGCGGUGAUGUCGACGACCAAGACGGAGAGGUACACCAGCCGUAAGUACACGGAGGCGGCCACCACGGCGGACGGCGUCAGGGCUGGCUUCUACGUGUACGAGUGCAAGACGUGCAACAAGUGCUUCCCCACCUUCCAGGCCCUCGGCGGCCACCGCGCCAGCCACAAGAAGCCACGCCUCGCCGGAGCCGACGACGACACCGCCGCCAACGCCACCAGCGUCGCCAUCGCCAAGCUGUCCAAGCCACCGCCGACGAAGCCACCGCUGGUGCAGAUGACGACAGCGUCGCCACCACAGCCCCCGCCGCCUCAGGUCGACGCCGCGCCGGACGUGACCACCGUGCUGAGCCUCAACAACGGCGGCAGCGCCGUUUGCAACGCCGUCAACACCAACAGGCUCCGGGUGCACGAGUGCUCCAUAUGCGGGGCCGAGUUCGCCUCCGGGCAGGCGCUAGGCGGGCACAUGCGGCGCCACCGCCCGCUGCACGCGCCGGCCGAUCGCGUCACAACCACCACCGCUGCCGCGGUGACCGCGAUCACCGCGUCCACAACGAAGAAAGACAGCACCCCGGCCGGCAUCAACCUGGAGCUCGACCUCAACCUGCCGGCGCCGUCCGACGAGGAGUGCGUCUCACACCCGCCACCGCCACCACCACCAUCAUCGGCGCCACCGGUGGUGCUCGGCCUCGGGCCGUUCGACAGCGGCAAGAAACGGCUGAUGCUCACGGCCGCUUCCGCCGCGCUGGUGGAUUGCCAUUAUUGA
RNAcentral lists this ribosomal RNA (1098 nucleotides) under Triticum aestivum (bread wheat). Its description in RNAcentral is "partial small subunit ribosomal RNA". The record is from RNAcentral. Lineage: Eukaryota; Viridiplantae; Streptophyta; Magnoliopsida; Poales; Poaceae.